GCACCCAUAGCUCAAUUGGAUAGAGCAUCGGUCUUCGGAACCGAAGGUUGUAGGUUCGAAUCCUACUGGGUGUA
Molecule: transfer RNA, 74 nt
Filed under: Rubinisphaera sp.
Lineage: Bacteria; Pseudomonadati; Planctomycetota; Planctomycetia; Planctomycetales; Planctomycetaceae
Also listed under: 3 other names
Description: tRNA-Arg
Rfam family: tRNA
About the family: Transfer RNA (tRNA) molecules are approximately 80 nucleotides in length. Their secondary structure includes four short double-helical elements and three loops (D, anti-codon, and T loops).
Source: RNAcentral